This 328-nucleotide ribosomal RNA is filed under the name uncultured eukaryote. Its description in RNAcentral is "partial 18S ribosomal RNA". It matches the Rfam family "Eukaryotic small subunit ribosomal RNA", at positions 1470 to 1796 of the family's 1831-position model. The record is from RNAcentral.
CCCUUAGAUGUCCUGGGCCGCACGCGCGCUACACUGAUGCAUGCAACGAGUUUAUAACCUUGGCCUGAAAGGUCUGGGUAAUCUUUUGAACGUGCAUCGUGAUAGGGAUAGAUUAUUGCAAUUGUUAAUCUUGAACGAGGAAUUCCUAGUAAACGCGAGUCAUCAGCUCGCAUUGAUUACGUCCCUGCCCUUUGUACCCACCGCCCGUCGCACCUACCGAUUGAAUGGUUCGGUGAAGAUCUCGGACUUCGAUAUUUAUUCUUUAUUGAGUUUAUAUUGUGGGAAGUUAUCUAAACCUCAUCAUUUAGAGGAAGGUGAAGUCGUAACA